CAGCCGCCACGGUAAUACGAAGGGUGCAAGCGUUAAUCGGAAUUACUGGGCGUAAAGCGUGCGUAGGCGGUUUGUUAAGUCUGCUGUGAAAUCCCCGGGCUCAACCUGGGAAUGGCAGUGGAUACUGGCAAGCUAGAGUGUGUCAGAGGAUGGUGGAAUUCCCGGUGUAGCGGUGAAAUGCGUAGAGAUCGGGAGGAACAUCAGUGGCGAAGGCGGCCAUCUGGGACAACACUGACGCUGAGGCACGAAAGCGUGGGGAGCAAACAGGAUUAGAUACCCCUGUAGUCCCUGUCUCUUAUAC
RNAcentral lists this ribosomal RNA (301 nucleotides) under uncultured bacterium. RNAcentral's name for it is "partial 16S ribosomal RNA". It matches the Rfam family "Bacterial small subunit ribosomal RNA", at positions 509 to 807 of the family's 1533-position model. The record is from RNAcentral.